CAAAUUUAAAAUAAGAAUAAGGGAAACCUUUUUGAAAGAAGUUGAUGGGGAUGAAAUUUCUAAAACACACAAUGAAGAGAGGGAGAAAAAGAGAUAUGCAUCUUUUAUGAUUUCACUUCAGAAGAUCAUGCAGGUCGACAUUCUACAACUAGCUGAAAACCACCUGCAAAAUCUCCACUCAAUGAAAGCUUAAAGAUUCAUGAGUACAUGUUAAAAGAAAGAAAGUUAGUAUUCAAUUGAAAAUGUGAAACAAAGAGUCACCAUGCUCAAGAUAAGUGCUUAUGAGAAGAACCAACCAGCUCUUAAAACACCAAAUGUGAAACAAAGAGUCAUACAUACUGCACAACAUCAUGGUUCUGAAUAAAGGUAGCAUUUUCAUUCUCAAGAAGAUAAAGUAAAACCAAUAGAAUAGUUAAAUUUUUGAAAUAAAGUCUAUUCACUAACCAAAAAUACAUAAAAGGAAGUAGGAAGCCACUGUAUAAAUUAUAUGUCACAAAAAAUGCAGAGCCCUCAGAUCUCAUACCUAAGCUUAUAAAUCAUCUGCGGCUUAUAUCACAGGUUUCAUUUCCAGCCUCUGUGCACCAUCUAAAAUAAAUAAAUAAAUAAAUAAACAAUG
This 616-nucleotide long non-coding RNA is filed under the name Lathyrus oleraceus (garden pea). RNAcentral's name for it is "Pisum sativum (pea) long non-coding RNA (PSAT_LNC037073)". The record is from RNAcentral. Lineage: Eukaryota; Viridiplantae; Streptophyta; Magnoliopsida; Fabales; Fabaceae.